Molecule: ribosomal RNA, 1056 nt
Filed under: Staphylococcus aureus
Lineage: Bacteria; Bacillati; Bacillota; Bacilli; Caryophanales; Staphylococcaceae
Description: partial 23S ribosomal RNA
Rfam family: Bacterial large subunit ribosomal RNA
Source: RNAcentral
GGUGAAAAGCACCCCGGAAGGGGAGUGAAAUAGAACCUGAAACCGUGUGCUUACAAGUAGUCAGAGCCCGUUAAUGGGUGAUGGCGUGCCUUUUGUAGAAUGAACCGGCGAGUUACGAUUUGAUGCAAGGUUAAGCAGUAAAUGUGGAGCCGUAGCGAAAGCGAGUCUGAAUAGGGCGUUUAGUAUUUGGUCGUAGACCCGAAACCAGGUGAUCUACCCUUGGUCAGGUUGAAGUUCAGGUAACACUGAAUGGAGGACCGAACCGACUUACGUUGAAAAGUGAGCGGAUGAACUGAGGGUAGCGGAGAAAUUCCAAUCGAACCUGGAGAUAGCUGGUUCUCUCCGAAAUAGCUUUAGGGCUAGCCUCAAGUGAUGAUUAUUGGAGGUAGAGCACUGUUUGGACGAGGGGCCCCUCUCGGGUUACCGAAUUCAGACAAACUCCGAAUGCCAAUUAAUUUAACUUGGGAGUCAGAACAUGGGUGAUAAGGUCCGUGUUCGAAAGGGAAACAGCCCAGACCACCAGCUAAGGUCCCAAAAUAUAUGUUAAGUGGAAAAGGAUGUGGCGUUGCCCAGACAACUAGGAUGUUGGCUUAGAAGCAGCCAUCAUUUAAAGAGUGCGUAAUAGCUCACUAGUCGAGUGACACUGCGCCGAAAAUGUACCGGGGCUAAACAUAUUACCGAAGCUGUGGAUUGUCCUUUGGACAAUGGUAGGAGAGCGUUCUAAGGGCGUUGAAGCAUGAUCGUAAGGACAUGUGGAGCGCUUAGAAGUGAGAAUGCCGGUGUGAGUAGCGAAAGACGGGUGAGAAUCCCGUCCACCGAUUGACUAAGGUUUCCAGAGGAAGGCUCGUCCGCUCUGGGUUAGUCGGGUCCUAAGCUGAGGCCGACAGGCGUAGGCGAUGGAUAACAGGUUGAUAUUCCUGUACCACCUAUAAUCGUUUUAAUCGAUGGGGGGACGCAGUAGGAUAGGCGAAGCGUGCGAUUGGAUUGCACGUCUAAGCAGUAAGGCUGAGUAUUAGGCAAAUCCGGUACUCAUUAAGGCUGAGCUGUGAUGGGGAG